This 411-nucleotide ribosomal RNA is filed under the name Triticum aestivum (bread wheat). RNAcentral describes it as "partial small subunit ribosomal RNA". Lineage: Eukaryota; Viridiplantae; Streptophyta; Magnoliopsida; Poales; Poaceae. The record is from RNAcentral.
AUGCCGGCCCCUCGCAAACGCCGAGCAGAGGUUCCUCAGAACUCAAACUUCUCUUUUCCAAAGGCGGGUCUUAUUCGUCAACCGCUUAAUCCUUCCGAUUCAAAUUAUCAGGGAACCUCUCACUCCUCCUCCGGCAACUCUACUGGGACUCAGAUUCCUCUCUUCAAAGUCGCUCCUAGCGGUAUAGCCAAACCCAGCAAGAAAUUGAAGAUGAAUAAGCCGACCGAAGACCCCAAGGUUAUUGAGCUGGAGAAACAAAUCAUAUCUGAAGCUUCUCAUCACACUCCUGAGGCUGCUGCUGAUGACCCACCACCAGAGACUCACGACGUCACGGUGGAUCCAAUGGGUGUUGACCCAUCCAGCACUAAGCCGCACAGUCCCAUAAAACCUGCUGAAGAGCCUCCUUCAUAA